CAGCAGCCGCGGGAAUACGUAGGUGGCGAGCGUUGUCCGGAAUUAUUGGGCAUAAAGGGAGCGCAGGCGGACAUAUAAGUCCAUCUUAAAAGUGCGGGGCUCAACCCCGUGAGGGGAUGGAAACUGUAUGCCUUGAGUGCAGGAGAGGAAAGCGGAAUUCCCAGUGUAGCGGUGAAAUGCGUAGAUAUUGGGAGGAACACCAGUGGCGAAGGCGGCUUUCUGGGCUGUAACUGACGCUGAGGCUCGAAAGCCAGGGGAGCGAACGGGAUUAGAUACCCCCGUAGUCCCUGUCUCUUAUACA
RNAcentral lists this ribosomal RNA (301 nucleotides) under uncultured bacterium. RNAcentral describes it as "partial 16S ribosomal RNA". It matches the Rfam family "Bacterial small subunit ribosomal RNA", at positions 509 to 809 of the family's 1533-position model. The record is from RNAcentral.